AGUUCCUCUCCUCUUCCUUCUUCAUUUGGGGCAGUUUGAGCUUACCCUAGACUCACCCAUCUUUUCCAAAUCGGCACAUCACCUCUCCAAAAUCUUUGCCUCUCCACUAGAAUCUUUUUCUCUCUCCCUCACAUUUAGUCUCCAAAGCUCCGUGCAAGUCCUUCUUAUGCAAAUGGCUCCCAAAAUGAAGCUUCCACAAAGGAGAAAAUCUGUUCGU
Molecule: long non-coding RNA, 217 nt
Filed under: Elaeis guineensis (African oil palm)
Lineage: Eukaryota; Viridiplantae; Streptophyta; Magnoliopsida; Arecales; Arecaceae
Description: long non-coding RNA (EGUI_LNC040108)
Source: RNAcentral